RNAcentral lists this ribosomal RNA (428 nucleotides) under Bacteroidota bacterium. Its description in RNAcentral is "Bacteroidetes bacterium partial 16S ribosomal RNA". It matches the Rfam family "Bacterial small subunit ribosomal RNA", at positions 355 to 776 of the family's 1533-position model. The record is from RNAcentral. Lineage: Bacteria; Pseudomonadati; Bacteroidota.
UAGGGAAUCUUCCGCAAUGGACGCAAGUCUGACGGAGCAACGCCGCGUGAGUGAAGAAGGAUUUCGGUUCGUAAAACUCUGUUGUUAGAGAAGAACAGCGCAUAGAGUAACUGUUAUGCGUGUGACGGUAUCUAACCAGAAAGCCACGGCUAACUACGUGCCAGCAGCCGCGGUAAUACGUAGGUGGCAAGCGUUGUCCGGAUUUAUUGGGCGUAAAGCGAGCGCAGGCGGUUAGAAAAGUCUGAAGUGAAAGGCAGUGGCUCAACCAUUGUAGGCUUUGGAAACUGUUUAACUUGAGUGCAGAAGGGGAGAGUGGAAUUCCAUGUGUAGCGGUGAAAUGCGUAGAUAUAUGGAGGAACACCGGUGGCGAAAGCGGCUCUCUGGUCUGUAACUGACGCUGAGGCUCGAAAGCGUGGGUAGCAAACAGG